UACGUAGGGACCAAGCGUUGUCCGGAUUUAUUGGGCGUAAAGAGCUCGUAGGCGGCCGAUCGCGUCGGAUGUGAAAGCUCGGGGCUCAACCCUGAGAGGUCAUUCGAUACGGGUCGGCUAGAGGCAGGUAGGGGAGAUCGGAAUUCCUGGUGUAGCGGUGAAAUGCGCAGAUAUCAGGAGGAACACCGGUGGCGAAGGCGGAUCUCUGGGCCUGUUCUGACGCUGAGGAGCGAAAGCUGGGGGAGCAAACAGG
Molecule: ribosomal RNA, 253 nt
Filed under: uncultured bacterium
Lineage: Bacteria
Description: partial 16S ribosomal RNA
Rfam family: Bacterial small subunit ribosomal RNA
Source: RNAcentral